GCAUGCCUUACACAUGCAAGUCGAACGGUAACGGGCCUUCGGGCGCCGACGAGUGGCGAACGGGUGAGUAAUGCAUCGGAACGUGCCCAGUAGUGGGGGAUAGCCCGGCGAAAGCCGGAUUAAUACCGCAUGAGACCUGAGGGUGAAAGCGGGGGAUCGCAAGACCUCGCGCUACUGGAGCGGCCGAUGUCAGAUUAGCUAGUUGGUGGGGUAAAGGCCUACCAAGGCAACGAUCUGUAGUUGGUCUGAGAGGACGACCAGCUACACUGGGACUGAGACACGGCCCAGACUCCUACGGGAGGCAGCAGUGGGGAAUUUUGGACAAUGGGCGCAAGCCUGAUCCAGCAAUGCCGCGUGCAGGAAGAAGGCCUUCGGGUUGUAAACUGCUUUUGUCAGGGAAGAAAUCUUCUGGGUUAAUACCUCGGGAGGAUGACGGUACCUGAAGAAUAAGCACCGGCUAACUACGUGCCAGCAGCCGCGGUAAUACGUAGGGUGCGAGCGUUAAUCGGAAUUACUGGGCGUAAAGCGUGCGCAGGCGGCUUUGCAAGACAGAUGUGAAAUCCCCGGGCUCAAACUGGGAACUGCAUUUGUGACUGCAG
RNAcentral lists this ribosomal RNA (599 nucleotides) under uncultured bacterium. RNAcentral's name for it is "bacterial SSU rRNA". It matches the Rfam family "Bacterial small subunit ribosomal RNA", at positions 42 to 638 of the family's 1533-position model. The record is from RNAcentral. RNAcentral also lists the same sequence under 1 other name.